This 497-nucleotide ribosomal RNA is filed under the name uncultured bacterium. Its description in RNAcentral is "partial 16S ribosomal RNA". It matches the Rfam family "Bacterial small subunit ribosomal RNA", at positions 28 to 507 of the family's 1533-position model. The record is from RNAcentral.
GAUGAACGCUGGCGGCGUGCCUAAUACAUGCAAGUCGAGCGAACAGACGAGGAGCUUGCUCCUCUGACGUUAGCGGCGGACGGGUCAGUAACACGUGGAUAACCUACCUAUAAGACUGGGAUAACUUCGGGAAACCGGAGCUAAUACCGGAUAAUAUAUUGAACCGCAUGGUUCAAUAGUGAAAGACGGUUUUGCUGUCACUUAUAGAUGGAUCCGCGCCGCAUUAGCUAGUUGGUAAGGUAACGGCUUACCAAGGCGACGAUGCGUAGCCGACCUGAGAGGGUGAUCGGCCACACUGGAACUGAGACACGGUCCAGACUCCUACGGGAGGCAGCAGCAGGGAAUCUUCCGCAAUGGGCGAAAGCCUGACGGAGCAACGCCGCGUGAGUGAUGAAGGUCUUCGGAUCGUAAAACUCUGUUAUUAGGGAAGAACAAAUGUGUAAGUAACUAUGCACGUCUUGACGGUACCUAAUCAGAAAGCCACGGCUAACUACGUG